UUCCACUCUGUACAUCGUAACCCCCCAGGAGGAAAACGGUCGUACGUUUCCUCACGCUUUUAUUAGCAUUUAGGCCGUACGUUACCUGUAACGUAGGCAUUUAUUCGCCAUUAUUCCACCCCUGUGCACCAACCGUUGUGAAGGGCAGCGCACUCUAUAUAAGCCACCCUUCCCCACUGGUGCAAGGGUUAGCAACUCACUGUAUUCUAUAUUC
RNAcentral lists this long non-coding RNA (214 nucleotides) under Hordeum vulgare. RNAcentral's name for it is "long non-coding RNA (HVUL_LNC004574)". The record is from RNAcentral. Lineage: Eukaryota; Viridiplantae; Streptophyta; Magnoliopsida; Poales; Poaceae.